This 396-nucleotide transfer-messenger RNA is filed under the name Enterobacteriaceae (enterobacteria). RNAcentral describes it as "Blochmannia sp023585685 Standard tmRNA". It matches the Rfam family "transfer-messenger RNA". From Rfam's summary of the family: Bacterial tmRNA, also known as 10Sa RNA or SsrA, is named for its dual tRNA and mRNA-like properties. Lineage: Bacteria; Pseudomonadati; Pseudomonadota; Gammaproteobacteria; Enterobacterales. The record is from RNAcentral. RNAcentral also lists the same sequence under 1 other name.
GAGGCUGAUUUUGGAUUCGACGGAGUAUCUUAUUAUUUAAAGUGCAUGUCGAGGGGAGGCAGGCCUCGUAAAAAGCCUCAAAAAGAUAAAUACAAAUACUACAUAUAAUGAAUCUGUUGCUUUAGCAGCUUAAAUCAGACUAAUAUCCUGAAGAUUCCCUCUCAUUUUAAUAUCUACUCUUAGAUGUUGAGAUAAAUAAGUAAGAGAGGUCGUAUAAAUAAGAGUGCGCGUUAGUGCUUGCUUUUGGCUUAACGUUAAGUAUGCAAGAGCUAAGUUGGUGUAGUGAUUGGUCUUAAUAUAUCUACACUAAUUAAAUAUAAUUUAAGACCUAAGCAUGUAGGUUACUAAGAAUAAAAAGAAUUCUGGACGCGGGUUCGAGUCCCGCCAGCUCCACCA